RNAcentral lists this ribosomal RNA (863 nucleotides) under uncultured bacterium. RNAcentral's name for it is "bacterial SSU rRNA". It matches the Rfam family "Bacterial small subunit ribosomal RNA", at positions 129 to 997 of the family's 1533-position model. The record is from RNAcentral.
CCUUGUACAGAGGGAUAGCCUUUAGAAAUGAAGAUUAAUACCUCAUAGUACUGAGAUGUGGCAUCACAAUUUAGUUAAAGAUUUAUCGGUACAAGAUGACUAUGCGUCCUAUUAGCUAGAUGGUAAGGUAACGGCUUACCAUGGCAACGAUAGGUAGGGGGUCUGAGAGGAUUAUCCCCCACACUGGUACUGAGACACGGACCAGACUCCUACGGGAGGCAGCAGUGAGGAAUAUUGGUCAAUGGAGGCAACUCUGAACCAGCCAUGCCGCGUGCAGGAAGACUGCCCUAUGGGUUGUAAACUGCUUUUAUAUGGGAAGAAACAAUUCUACGUGUAGAAUCUUGACGGUACCAUAAGAAUAAGCACCGGCUAACUCCGUGCCAGCAGCCGCGGUAAUACGGAGGGUGCAAGCGUUAUCCGGAAUCAUUGGGUUUAAAGGGUCCGCAGCGGUUGAUUAAGUCAGAGGUGAAAUCCUACAGCUUAACUGUAGAACUGCCUUUGAUACUGGUCGACUUGAGUUAUACGGAAGUAGGUAGAAUAUGUAGUGUAGCGGUGAAAUGCAUAGAUAUUACAUAGAAUACCGAUUGCGAAGCAGAUCACUAACAAUGUAUUGACGCUAAGGGACGAAAGCGUGGGUAGCGAACAGGAUUAGAUACCCUGGUAGUCCACGCCGUAAACGAUGGUCACUAGCUGUUUGGACUUCGGUCUGAGUGGCUAAGCGAAAGUGAUAAGUGACCCACCUGGGGAGUACGUUCGCAAGAAUGAAACUCAAAGGAAUUGACGGGGGCCCGCACAAGCGUGGAGCAUGUGGUUUAAUUCGAAGCAACCGCAGAACCUUACCAACCCUUGACAUCCUAUGACCG